CCAGCAGCUGCGGUAAUUCCAGCUCCAAUAGCGUAUAUUUAAGUUGUUGCAGUUAAAAAGCUCGUAGUUGGAUUUCGGGCGGGGCCUGCCGGUCCGCCGAAUGGUGUGCACUGGCUGAGUUGAUCUUGCUGCCGGGGACGCGCUUCUGGCCUUAAUUGGCUGGGACGCGGAGUCGGCGAUGUUACUUUGAAAAAAUUAGAGUGUUCAAAGCAGGCCUAAGCUCUGAAUACAUUAGCAUGGAAUAACGCUAUAGGACUCUGGUCUUAUUGCGUUGGUCUUCGAGACCGGAGUAAUGAUUAAGAGGGACAGUUGGGGGCAUUCGUCUUUCAUUGUCAGCGGUGAAAUUCUUGGACUUAUGAAAGGCGAACUUCUGCGAAAGCAUUUGCCAAGGAUGUUUUCAUCAAUCAAGACCGAAAGU
This 418-nucleotide ribosomal RNA is filed under the name uncultured eukaryote. Its description in RNAcentral is "SSU rRNA". It matches the Rfam family "Eukaryotic small subunit ribosomal RNA", at positions 567 to 990 of the family's 1831-position model. The record is from RNAcentral.